GCAGAAACGUGUUAUGGUUUACAAACAAAAUAUUAUCAAAAUACAACACUUUCUGAAUAAUUAGCUGUAAAAAUAUUAACAAUUAGUUGUGAUUAGAUUUGAACGGAAAAUAUGAGUACUCUUUAAUCGUUACGUUGCAUUGUUUUAUGUGUUCAUCAUACACAUUUUAUAAGUUAAGCAAUAUAUAACUAAUAUUUAAAACUUGUUCCCAUAUUGUGCUGAUAUAUCACUGUCCAGUUUGGGCGAAGUUAAGUUCAAACAAACAUAUCAAUUCGGGCU
RNAcentral lists this long non-coding RNA (279 nucleotides) under Mytilus galloprovincialis (Mediterranean mussel). The record is from RNAcentral. Lineage: Eukaryota; Metazoa; Mollusca; Bivalvia; Mytilida; Mytilidae.